This is a long non-coding RNA of Hydra vulgaris (swiftwater hydra), 109 nucleotides long. RefSeq lists it as uncharacterized. NCBI's taxonomy places the organism in Eukaryota, Metazoa, Cnidaria, Hydrozoa, Anthoathecata, Hydridae. The record is from RefSeq and is a predicted model, not a curated record.
UAUAUGAAGUCAAUGAAAAAUCUUAAAGUUUUACAAAGAAUAAUAAAUAGAAGUUAUUGAAUGUUGGUGGCUCAUCAUGCAGUGCAUUUGAGAAGGGCAUGCUCUCAAA